UAGGAAAUUAACAAUAUAAACAGCUGCGACGACAAGUAAAUGUGAACGCUCAGUUAUUUAUGCGGCUGACCUUUUUCUAAACUUAACGGGUAUCUCAGCAGGUUAUCUAUACACAGCAAAUUACGUUUUCAUGCACGUGGAGAUAGAAUCUAUAUAAUUACACAAGUAAUUAUUGCACCAAUGGGGAGCAAGUGCCCGUUAAAAUAAAUGCGUGUAUACAUAUGUGUUACCGACGAAAGAUGAUAUAUGUUUGUCAAAAACGCUUAUAGUACCUUGCCUGCCUAAAGACUUCUCUAGGUGGGGGCGGUAAGGGCGAUCAUAAUGUGUAUUCCACAUGUGCGGAUCGCAUGUAUAUAUAUAUAUAUAUAUAUAUAUAUAUAUAUAAGUGGGUAUCACUCGUGCACAAGUUGACAAAAAUCGAAUCUUUUAAUUUUUUAUUUAAUUGAUAGACGCAAUAAACUUUGGGGCCUUUCCUUCCCUUCUCUUUGCA
Long non-coding RNA from Drosophila virilis, 490 nucleotides. RefSeq lists it as uncharacterized. The record is from RefSeq and is a predicted model, not a curated record. NCBI's taxonomy places the organism in Eukaryota, Metazoa, Arthropoda, Insecta, Diptera, Drosophilidae.